ACUCUUGAAGUCUUAGUGGCGCAGCUAACGCACUAAGUAGACCGCCUGGGGAGUACGGCCGCAAGGUUAAAACUCAAAUGAAUUGACGGGGGCCCGCACAAGCGGUGGAGCAUGUGGUUUAAUUCGACGCAACGCGAAGAACCUUACCUGGCCUUGACAUGCAGAGAACUUUCCAGAGAUGGAUUGGUGCCUUCGGGAACUCUGACACAGGUGCUGCAUGGCCGUCGCCAGCUCGUGUCGUGAGAUGUUGGGUUAAGUCCCGUAACGAGCGCAACCCCUAUCCCUAGUUGCUAGCAGUUCGGCUGAGAACUCUAGGGAGACUGCCGGUGACAAACCGGAGGAAGGUGGGGAUGACGUCAGGUCAUCAUGGCCCUUACGGCCAGGGCUACACACGUGCUACAAUGGUGCGUACAGAGGGCUGCAAACCCGCGAGGGGGAGCUAAUCUCACAAAACGCAUCGUAGUCCGGAUCGGAGUCUGCAACUCGACUCCGUGAAGUCGGAAUCGCUAGUAAUCGCGAAUCAGAAUGUCGCGGUGAAUACGUUCCCGGGCCUUGUACACACCGCCCGUCACACCAUGGGAGUGGAUUGCACCAGAAGUGGUUAGUCUAACCUUCGGGAGGAC
RNAcentral lists this ribosomal RNA (623 nucleotides) under uncultured bacterium. Its description in RNAcentral is "bacterial SSU rRNA". It matches the Rfam family "Bacterial small subunit ribosomal RNA", at positions 828 to 1451 of the family's 1533-position model. The record is from RNAcentral.